CUGCCUGCCCAGCUGCCUGGCUUCUGCCUCGCCUGGGCAGUGGAGCCUGGGCCGGAGGACAGCUGACCGGGAACGGGAGGUGGACGCAGUUCUGUUUCCCUGGUGACUCUGACGUGCAGAGUUGGAGCUGCCCACUCUAUGAACCAGGCUCUGGCGAGGACAAGAUGGGAAGGAAAGAGCUCGGGCACUGGGGGAGACAGCGGGGACUUUUCUUCCUGCCCCGGUCUGCGGUCCUUGACAAGUUUCCUCAGCCGACAAGAGAUGCUCACACCCACUGCCGAGGGCAGGUACCUCGAAGGAGAGUGGGUUCUGAACAUGGCGCCCGGAGUUCAGACGUCACGCCGAAGCGGUUCUCACGGAAUGCAGCUCCACCUCCCAGAACCCAGGCCUUCCCUGGGGCCAGAAGCUCUUCACAGCAUCUCAGCUGCCCGGGCUGGCUGGUCCUUAGGAGAGCUGUCCACUGUGCAGGCAACAAAAUGCUGCUUAUUAAGGCCCUAAAUCUUCUCUGUUCUUUCUGCCUUCCAUUGCUCAACUUCCACACCCCCCUUUUCCUCCUUAGACUGAAGACUUUGCCUCCGAUCAGCACAAUCUCCAAAUCAGAGCAUGAAGGCCAUCAGGAUGGUUGUAGAAAGCCAAUAAAGACCCUUCUGCAUGGACAUUGAGCGCCUGUCUGUGAUGACCCAUAGGGCCUAGAGGGAGGGAGGAGGUCCAGCCCCUCUAGAAGGAGGCAGGCGCAGACGCUGAAGCCUUCCCUGCUCAGGUUAAAGGCAUCAGCUGGAGGGGACCCCGCUGUAGAGCGGUGUGACUAAGUGGGCACUGGACAUGGAUGCUGGAGUCAGUUCAGUGGGCUUCAAAUCAAAAUUGUCACUUAGAAGAUCAGAAACCAUGGGUGAAUCACUGUUUCUCUGCAGUUCAACUCUUUAAUCUUUGAAAUGAAGAC
Molecule: long non-coding RNA, 940 nt
Filed under: Fukomys damarensis (Damara mole-rat)
Lineage: Eukaryota; Metazoa; Chordata; Mammalia; Rodentia; Bathyergidae
Description: lncRNA (ENSFDAG00000027898.1)
Source: RNAcentral